RNAcentral lists this ribosomal RNA (468 nucleotides) under uncultured bacterium. RNAcentral's name for it is "bacterial SSU rRNA". It matches the Rfam family "Bacterial small subunit ribosomal RNA", at positions 329 to 794 of the family's 1533-position model. The record is from RNAcentral.
UGCCAGACUCCUACGGGAGGCAGCAGUGAGGAAUAUUGGUCAAUGGGCGGAAGCCUGAACCAGCCAAGUCGCGUGAGGGAUUAAGGCCCUAUGGGUCGUAAACCUCUUUUGUCAGGGAGCAAUGGCGUCCACGUGUGGGCGUAUGGAGAGUACCUGAAGAAAAAGCAUCGGCUAACUCCGUGCCAGCAGCCGCGGUAAUACGGAGGAUGCGAGCGUUAUCCGGAUUUAUUGGGUUUAAAGGGUGCGUAGGCGGGACCUUAAGUCAGCGGUAAAAUUUCGGGGCUCAACCCCGUCGUGCCGUUGAAACUGGCGUUCUUGAGUGAGCGAGAAGUAUGCGGAAUGCGUGGUGUAGCGGUGAAAUGCAUAGAUAUCGCGCAGAACUCCGAUUGCGAAGGCAGCAUGCCGGCUCCACACUGACGCUGAGGCACGAAAGCGUGGGUAUCGAACAGGAUUAGAUACCCCCGUAAA